CCAAGCCAGGCCAGGCCAGGCAGGGGCCGAGCCAACAUGGAGCAGUUACCCAGGAAAGUCCUCCUCUGGCAUCUCCUGCUCCUGCAGACCUGCAGUGUCCACUUGUUCUCAGCCACAUCCCCAGGGUCAGGGGGCAGCACGGUGGUGUCCGAAGCCAGCCUGAGCCAGCCCGCCGGAGCCCGCGCUCUCCUUCGGUGCCAAAGCCUACGCAUGGUGUGGACGCAGGACCGCCUG
Long non-coding RNA from Gracilinanus agilis (Agile Gracile Mouse Opossum), 234 nucleotides. RefSeq lists it as uncharacterized. NCBI's taxonomy places the organism in Eukaryota, Metazoa, Chordata, Mammalia, Didelphimorphia, Didelphidae. The transcript is spliced from 3 exons. The record is from RefSeq and is a predicted model, not a curated record.